This 1577-nucleotide ribosomal RNA is filed under the name Weissella confusa. RNAcentral describes it as "bacterial SSU rRNA". It matches the Rfam family "Bacterial small subunit ribosomal RNA". The record is from RNAcentral. Lineage: Bacteria; Bacillati; Bacillota; Bacilli; Lactobacillales; Lactobacillaceae. RNAcentral also lists the same sequence under 2 other names.
CAAAUUGAGAGUUUGAUCCUGGCUCAGGAUGAACGCUGGCGGCGUGCCUAAUACAUGCAAGUCGAACGCUUUGUGGUUCAACUGAUUUGAAGAGCUUGCUCAGAUAUGACGAUGGACAUUGCAAAGAGUGGCGAACGGGUGAGUAACACGUGGGAAACCUACCUCUUAGCAGGGGAUAACAUUUGGAAACAGAUGCUAAUACCGUAUAACAAUGACAACCGCAUGGUUGUUAUUUAAAAGAUGGUUCUGCUAUCACUAAGAGAUGGUCCCGCGGUGCAUUAGCUAGUUGGUAAGGUAAUGGCUUACCAAGGCGAUGAUGCAUAGCCGAGUUGAGAGACUGAUCGGCCACAAUGGGACUGAGACACGGCCCAUACUCCUACGGGAGGCAGCAGUAGGGAAUCUUCCACAAUGGGCGAAAGCCUGAUGGAGCAACGCCGCGUGUGUGAUGAAGGGUUUCGGCUCGUAAAACACUGUUGUAAGAGAAGAAUGACAUUGAGAGUAACUGUUCAAUGUGUGACGGUAUCUUACCAGAAAGGAACGGCUAAAUACGUGCCAGCAGCCGCGGUAAUACGUAUGUUCCAAGCGUUAUCCGGAUUUAUUGGGCGUAAAGCGAGCGCAGACGGUUAUUUAAGUCUGAAGUGAAAGCCCUCAGCUCAACUGAGGAAUUGCUUUGGAAACUGGAUGACUUGAGUGCAGUAGAGGAAAGUGGAACUCCAUGUGUAGCGGUGAAAUGCGUAGAUAUAUGGAAGAACACCAGUGGCGAAGGCGGCUUUCUGGACUGUAACUGACGUUGAGGCUCGAAAGUGUGGGUAGCAAACAGGAUUAGAUACCCUGGUAGUCCACACCGUAAACGAUGAGUGCUAGGUGUUUGAGGGUUUCCGCCCUUAAGUGCCGCAGCUAACGCAUUAAGCACUCCGCCUGGGGAGUACGACCGCAAGGUUGAAACUCAAAGGAAUUGACGGGGACCCGCACAAGCGGUGGAGCAUGUGGUUUAAUUCGAAGCAACGCGAAGAACCUUACCAGGUCUUGACAUCCCUUGACAACUCCAGAGAUGGAGCGUUCCCUUCGGGGACAAGGUGACAGGUGGUGCAUGGUUGUCGUCAGCUCGUGUCGUGAGAUGUUGGGUUAAGUCCCGCAACGAGCGCAACCCUUAUUACUAGUUGCCAGCAUUUAGUUGGGCACUCUAGUGAGACUGCCGGUGACAAACCGGAGGAAGGUGGGGAUGACGUCAAAUCAUCAUGCCCCUUAUGACCUGGGCUACACACGUGCUACAAUGGCGUAUACAACGAGUUGCCAACCCGCGAGGGUGAGCUAAUCUCUUAAAGUACGUCUCAGUUCGGAUUGUAGGCUGCAACUCGCCUACAUGAAGUCGGAAUCGCUAGUAAUCGCGGAUCAGCACGCCGCGGUGAAUACGUUCCCGGGUCUUGUACACACCGCCCGUCACACCAUGAGAGUUUGUAACACCCAAAGCCGGUGGGGUAACCUUCGGGAGCCAGCCGUCUAAGGUGGGACAGAUGAUUAGGGUGAAGUCGUAACAAGGUAGCCGUAGGAGAACCUGCGGCUGGAUCACCUCCUUU